RNAcentral lists this ribosomal RNA (637 nucleotides) under uncultured bacterium. RNAcentral describes it as "bacterial SSU rRNA". It matches the Rfam family "Bacterial small subunit ribosomal RNA", at positions 202 to 842 of the family's 1533-position model. The record is from RNAcentral.
UAAAGAUUCAUCGCUGAUAGAUAGGCAUGCGUUCCAUUAGGCAGUUGGCGGGGUAACGGCCCACCAAACCGACGAUGGAUAGGGGUUCUGAGAGGAAGGUCCCCCACAUUGGUACUGAGACACGGACCAAACUCCUACGGGAGGCAGCAGUGAGGAAUAUUGGUCAAUGGGCGUAAGCCUGAACCAGCCAAGUCGCGUGAGGGAUGAAGGUUCUAUGGAUCGUAAACCUCUUUUAUAAGGGAAUAAAGUGUGGGACGUGUCCUAUUUUGUAUGUACCUUAUGAAUAAGGAUCGGCUAACUCCGUGCCAGCAGCCGCGGUAAUACGGAGGAUCCGAGCGUUAUCCGGAUUUAUUGGGUUUAAAGGGUGCGUAGGCGGCCUUUUAAGUCAGCGGUGAAAGUCUGUGGCUCAACCAUAGAAUUGCCGUUGAAACUGGGGGGCUUGAGUACGUUUGAGGCAGGCGGAAUGCGUGGUGUAGCGGUGAAAUGCUUAGAUAUCACGCAGAACCCCGAUUGCGAAGGCAGCCUGCCAAGCCAUGACUGACGCUGAUGCACGAAAGCGUGGGGAUCAAACAGGAUUAGAUACCCUGGUAGUCCACGCAGUAAACGAUGAUCACUAGCUGUUUGCGAUACAGUGUAA